Molecule: long non-coding RNA, 359 nt
Filed under: Helianthus annuus (common sunflower)
Lineage: Eukaryota; Viridiplantae; Streptophyta; Magnoliopsida; Asterales; Asteraceae
Description: hypothetical non coding rna
Source: RNAcentral
UCUUACUAGUAUAGAAUAUCAAUGGAUGAAUUCAUGAGAUCUAAAUGUGAAUUCAUCAAGUGUAGGUGUGAAGGAGGAAAGGUCAAUCAAUUCAAAACAACAAGGAAUCAGAGAACGAUGUAAAUCAUGAACUUGAAGAUCAAGUCAAGGACGCGAACGAAUACACAAGCUUUAUUUUGGUCAUUAAGUAAUAACAGGUCAAUUACAAGACUUGGAUAUAUAAUUGGAUAAAAAUUCGUUAUGUAGUUAAUUGCAUGUUAUCAACUUUAGUUAUGUUUUGGGUAUGUUUUGAAUGUGGAUCAAACAUGUAUGUAUCAAAACUCUUGAAUGAUUGUGUUUUUAUAUAAAAGUUUUAAUUU